UUUAUUCUAAAGUACCAUUUGGCAUUUCUCUCCCCUUUUUUCAACUUAAUUACUCAGUUCUUCUUCUCUUCUUUUUCUUUUCUUUUUGAGUUUGUAUCCAAAGGAGUCUUUUCCUUCGUUGAAUGUUAUUCUUUGUGCCAUAAGAUUCUCUUUUUUCUUUGUUUUUCCUAUUUUUCAAUCAUCAUUUUUCUUAUAUUUUUUUUUGCACUCACCUUAUUCAACAUCUGAUGGGGUUACCCCAAACUUAAAAUGAAACAUAACUUAAAGAACACAACAAUCACUCUGAACAUGGGAUAUAGGCUCAAAUUGGGCCGAGGGUUAUAUUGAUGUGGUGAUAUAUG
RNAcentral lists this long non-coding RNA (341 nucleotides) under Lathyrus oleraceus (garden pea). RNAcentral's name for it is "Pisum sativum (pea) long non-coding RNA (PSAT_LNC002519)". Lineage: Eukaryota; Viridiplantae; Streptophyta; Magnoliopsida; Fabales; Fabaceae. The record is from RNAcentral.